RNAcentral lists this ribosomal RNA (484 nucleotides) under uncultured bacterium. RNAcentral's name for it is "partial 16S ribosomal RNA". It matches the Rfam family "Bacterial small subunit ribosomal RNA", at positions 28 to 507 of the family's 1533-position model. The record is from RNAcentral.
GUUGAACGCUGGCGGCAGGCCUAACACAUGCAAGUCGAGCGGAUGGGGGCUGCUUGUUUCUGGAUUUCGCGGCGGACGGGUGUGAAUUGCAUAGGAAUAUGCUUGGUUGUGGGGGAGGAUGUCUGGAGACGGGUGGUGAUAAUGCCUGAGUCGUGAGGGAGCUGCAGGGGGAUGGUUGGACAGUACGCUAUGAGAUGAGUCUAGGUCGGGUUUGCUAGUUGGUGGGGUAAGGGCAUACCUAGGAGGGGAUCGGUAACUAGUCUGAGUGAGUGAUCAGUCACACUGGAACUGAGACACGGUCCAGACGCCUACGGGAGGCAGCAGUGAGGAAUAUUGGACGAUGGGCGGAAGCCUGAUCCAGACAGGCCGCAUGUGUGAAGAAGGUCUGCGGAGUGUAAAGCACUUUAAGUUGGGAGGAAGAGCAGUAAGUUAAUACCUGGCUCUUUUGUCGUUACCAACAGAAAAAGCACCGGCUAACUUCGUG